This 422-nucleotide ribosomal RNA is filed under the name uncultured bacterium. RNAcentral's name for it is "bacterial SSU rRNA". It matches the Rfam family "Bacterial small subunit ribosomal RNA", at positions 355 to 776 of the family's 1533-position model. The record is from RNAcentral.
UGGGGAAUUUUGGACAAUGGGGGAAACCCUGAUCCAGCAACGCUGCGUGGAGGAUGAAGGCCUAUUGGUCGUAAACUCCUUUUGCAGGGGACGAACGUGCGGAGCAAUCCGUACCUGACGGUACUCUGCGAAUAAGCCACGGCUAACUAUGUGCCAGCAGCCGCGGUAAGACAUAGGUGGCAAGCGUUACUCGGAAUUACUAGGCGUAAAGCGCGUGUAGGCGGAUGCUUAAGUCUGUUGUUUAAUCUCCCGGCUCAACCGGGAAAAGUCAGCGGAUACUGAGCAUCUGGAGUGGGACAGAGGAAGCUGGAAUUCCCGGUGUAGCGGUGAAAUGCGUAGAUAUCGGGAAGAACACCGGCGGCGAAGGCGGGCUUCUGGGUCCUCACUGACGCUGAGACGCGAAAGCUAGGGGAGCAAACAGG